GUGCUCACUUGAGCAGCAUACGUAUAUAAGAUGAUUCAAGGAAUAUUUGUAUGGCCCCCGAGCGAGGAUGAGACUGAAAUCUGUAAAGCAUUCCAUGUUUUU
Molecule: small nuclear RNA, 102 nt
Filed under: Procavia capensis (Cape rock hyrax)
Lineage: Eukaryota; Metazoa; Chordata; Mammalia; Hyracoidea; Procaviidae
Source: RNAcentral